GAUGAAGAACGUAGCGAAAUGCGAUAAGUAGUGUGAAUUGCAGAAUUCAGUGAAUCAUCGAAUCUUUGAACGCACAUUGCGCCCCUUGGUAUUCCAUGGGGCAUGCCUGUUCGAGCGUCAUUUGUACCUUCAAGCUCUGCUUGGUGUUGGGUGUUUGUCUCGCCUCUGCGCGUAGACUCGCCUCAAAACAAUUGGCAGCCGGCGUAUUGAUUUCGGAGCGCAGUACAUCUCGCGCCUUGCACUCAUAACGACGACGUCCAAAAGUACAUUUUUACACUCUUGACCUCGGAUCAGGUAGGGAUACCCGCUGAACUUAAGCAUAUCAAUAAGGGAGGA
This 336-nucleotide unclassified non-coding RNA is filed under the name soil metagenome. Its description in RNAcentral is "partial contains 5.8S ribosomal RNA, internal transcribed spacer 2, and large subunit ribosomal RNA". The stretch from base 1 to 120 matches the Rfam family "5.8S ribosomal RNA", at positions 35 to 154 of the family's 154-position model. The record is from RNAcentral.